This 63-nucleotide transfer RNA is filed under the name Magelona mirabilis. RNAcentral describes it as "tRNA-Lys". The record is from RNAcentral. Lineage: Eukaryota; Metazoa; Annelida; Polychaeta; Spionida; Magelonidae.
CAUAAGAGAGCUGAAAUUAGCGCCAGGCUUUUAAUCUGGAAAUAGUAUCUAUACUUCUUAUGA